GUCUUUUAGAAUAUAAUUUUAAGUCUAACCUGCCCACUGAAUUUAUUUGAAGGGCCGCGGUAUUUUGACUGUGCAAAGGUAGCAUAAUCAUUAGUCUUUUAAUUGGAGGCUUGUAUGAAUGGUUGGAUGAAACAUUAACUGUCUCAAUUUAAUAAAAAUAGAAUUUAAUUUUUAAGUUAAAAAGCUUAAAUUAAAUUAGAGGACGAGAAGACCCUAUAGAUCUUUAUAAUUAAUUAUUUAUUAUUAAUUUAGUAAAUUAAUUUUUAUUAAUUAGUUAAUUAUUUUAUUGGGGUGAUAAAUAAAUUUAGUAAACUUUAUUUUAUGAAAACAUUUAUGUAUGAAUAUUUGAUCCAUUAUUAAUGAUUAAAAGAUUAAGUUACCUUAGGGAUAACAGCGUAAUUUUUUUAGAGAGUUCUAAUCGAUAAAAAAGUUUGCGACCUCGAUGUUGAAUUAAAGGUUAAUUUUAGGUGCAGAAGUUUAAAGUUUUGGUCUGUUCGACCAUUAAAUC
Molecule: ribosomal RNA, 508 nt
Filed under: Protohermes costalis
Lineage: Eukaryota; Metazoa; Arthropoda; Insecta; Megaloptera; Corydalidae
Description: partial 16S ribosomal RNA
Rfam family: Bacterial large subunit ribosomal RNA
Source: RNAcentral